GAUGAAGAACGUAGCGAAAUGCGAUAAGUAAUGUGAAUUGCAGAAUUCAGUGAAUCAUCGAAUCUUUGAACGCACAUUGCGCCCCCUGGCAUUCCGGGUGGCAUGCCUGUCCGAGCGUCAUUUCUGCCCUCCAGCCCGGCUGGGUGUUGGGCGCUGUCCCCCCGGGGACACGCCCCAAAGGCAGUGGCGGCGCCGCGUCGGGUCCUCGAGCGUAUGGGGCUUUGUCACCCGCUCGGGACGGACUCGUCGGCGCUGGUCUUCCUCCAGGCGACCCUUCGGGGCUCGUCUUCCUUCGGUUGACCUCGGAUCAGGUAGGGUUACCCGCUGAACUUAAGCAUAUCAAUAAGCGGAGGA
Molecule: unclassified non-coding RNA, 354 nt
Filed under: soil metagenome
Description: partial contains 5.8S ribosomal RNA, internal transcribed spacer 2, and large subunit ribosomal RNA
Rfam family: 5.8S ribosomal RNA (bases 1-120)
Source: RNAcentral